This 890-nucleotide long non-coding RNA is filed under the name Pongo abelii (Sumatran orangutan). RNAcentral describes it as "lincRNA". The record is from RNAcentral. Lineage: Eukaryota; Metazoa; Chordata; Mammalia; Primates; Hominidae.
CAUUCUUUCUUGCUGGGAAUGAGGCUGUCAAUCUACCUGAUUAAGAGUGAGAGAAGAGAGUGUUUGCUGUGCAUCAGGAUGUUUGGUGGACAUUCCAUUGUGGAUGAACCCUGGCUUCUUGCCCAACCGCUUAUGUUGGAAAUGCCCACCAGACGGGACCUCCCUGGAGACCAAACCCAGCCCAUCUUGGGAGCUGGCCAGUGCCACAUCCUCCCCCUCUUGCAGGGACCAGCUGAGUCAGUUGCUCCAUCUCGCACCUCUCAACACCUUCCUGUGUGGCGCUGGGCCACCUGUGAAGCCCUGGCAUGCCUUGCUACCAUAGCUCGCAGAAGUUAUGGAGAAAAGGAGGCCCACACAGACUGAGAAAACACCAAGGCGAGGACAUGGCUGGGAUCCCAGCGCAGGAUCCCCAUUCUUCUGCAGUCACAGUCUUGGCUGAACUGAACCCUUUCCUCCCAGUGUUUGGCUUGGAUGCUAGACCAGGUCCCGGGAGAAACCUCACUCCUGGGAAGCUCCGGCAUGCUACCCCUGUUGGCUGGGAGACAGCUCUGCCACAUUUUUUUCAACUCUUCCAUUGCUCUGCUGAUUCACAGGCUCCAGCUUCCAGAACCUUUCCCCCUGUCAGGACAGUAGUCCACCUCCCUUUCCACAUGCUUGUCCUGUUUGCUCGUUGGGUUCCAGGAGGCUCUCUCCGUCCCCCGGCUCUGUGUAUGGCCCCACCGUCCUUACCACACUGUCCUGCAAGUGCUCGUUAACUCGCCUGGCUUCUCCUCUGCCAUCUCUGCUCCCUCAAUGAAGGAACCCUGGGAUCUUGCUCGCCCCUAGUAUCUGGCACAUAGUAUACCCCCAGGAAGUAUUUAUUGUGAAAAUCAAUACAUUAUCUGAAUUGA